AUGUCCCAGGAGGGGACUCAGUCCCAAAGGCGGAACCACUUCUGGCAGACUGCAUCCUCCCUCCCUAAGUGCUUUUGGAAAUGUGGGAACAAACAUUUGCUCUGGUCUCCGGAAGAACGUAUGAAGACUAAACUGCAGUGGGUCUGGGAAAAGCUGAUGUCAGAGAUGCUUAUUUUCUCCAGUCACUGGAACUCAUUCAAAUCAGGCUGCCACAACAAAGCAGGAACAAAAAAUUAUUUCCUCACAGUUUGAGAGGCUAGAAGUCUGAGAUCAAGGUGUUGGCAAG
RNAcentral lists this long non-coding RNA (286 nucleotides) under Papio anubis (olive baboon). RNAcentral describes it as "lncRNA (ENSPANG00000037643.1)". Lineage: Eukaryota; Metazoa; Chordata; Mammalia; Primates; Cercopithecidae. The record is from RNAcentral.